Long non-coding RNA from Mauremys reevesii (Reeves's turtle), 198 nucleotides. RefSeq lists it as uncharacterized. The transcript has 3 exons. The record is from RefSeq and is a predicted model, not a curated record. Lineage: Eukaryota; Metazoa; Chordata; Testudines; Geoemydidae.
GUGGUGGUCAGAAGGCCUCCUGCCUCUGUCUUGAAGAUGACUGUUGAUGAGAUGGCCUUGAUGAAGUUAACGAAAAUAACAAAGUACAGAAUCUUUGCCAUGGCUUCACAUUAUCCCAUCACAUACUCUGAGGAUGAUCAUUGAACUGCACAUAGAAAAGGGAUAAGUGCAGACGCCAUAGCACGGAAAGCAUGGAGC